Molecule: non-coding RNA, 182 nt
Submitted as: unclassified sequences
Source: Rfam
AUCAUCGCGCGAGUGCCACUCCACUACAUGGACUCGUGACGUCUAAAAAAGGAGGCAGUUCUACCGCGGACUUGCGGUGCGGCAGUGUGGAGACCUGUCGUAAUGCGGCUGCCAUGCAUACGGGGAGCCGCGAGUCGGGCAGUUGAUGAAGUUCGUGCCCGUCAAAGUCAAAUGGUAUGGCA